AGCACAUUUUGUCUGAGUGUAUAUUUGACUUUGCACUGUUCUUUUUUUGUUUUUAAUUUCUUAAUUUCUGAGUAAUUAACUUCAACAUUGCUAUUUUUUGAAUAUUUUUUAGCUCAUUUGCUUUUUGAGUAAAUUUCUUUUCUGUGUUUUGGUUUAAUUUCCAUAGUAUUUGGGUAGUUGUAAUUGGGUUUGGAUGUGUUCGUAUAAUUCUAAUCAUGUUUGGG
RNAcentral lists this unclassified non-coding RNA (224 nucleotides) under Hevea brasiliensis (rubber tree). Lineage: Eukaryota; Viridiplantae; Streptophyta; Magnoliopsida; Malpighiales; Euphorbiaceae. The record is from RNAcentral.